This 468-nucleotide ribosomal RNA is filed under the name uncultured bacterium. Its description in RNAcentral is "partial 16S ribosomal RNA". It matches the Rfam family "Bacterial small subunit ribosomal RNA", at positions 28 to 507 of the family's 1533-position model. The record is from RNAcentral.
GACGAACGCUGGCGGUGGGCUUAACACAUGCAAGUCGAACGGAAAGGCCCUGCUUUCGUGGGGUGCUCGAGUGGCGAACGGGUGAGUAACACGUGAGUAACCUGCCCUUGACUUUGGGAUAACUUCAGGAAACUGGGGCUAAUACCGUAUAGGAUCUCCUGUUGCAUGGUGGGGGUUGGAAAGUCUCGGCGGUUGGGGAUGGACUCGCGGCUUACGAGCUUGUUGGUGGGGUAGUGGCUUACCAAGGCUUUGACGGGUAGCCCGCAUGAGAGGGUGACCGGGGACCAUGGGACUAAGGGACGGCGCAGACUGCUACGGGAGGCAGCAGUGGGAAAUAUUGCCCAAUGAGACGGAGCCUGAGACGGAGGCGCCGCGUGCGGAAUGACGGCCUUCGGGUAGUAAACCGCUUUCGCCUAUUACGAAGCGGGAGUGACGGUAAUGAGUAAAGAAGCACCGGCUAACUACGUG